GGCCAUAUGGCUUAGUGGUUAAAGCCUGGCACCAGUGUAAUUUUUGUAAACUCUGGUACCUCCUCACGUGGGUUCGAAUCCCAGUACGGCCU
Molecule: non-coding RNA, 92 nt
Organism: Mycena latifolia
Lineage: Eukaryota; Fungi; Basidiomycota; Agaricomycetes; Agaricales; Mycenaceae
Source: the annotation of a GenBank genome assembly